UCCGGCUUGUCACCGGCAGUUUCUUCAGAGUGCCCAACUAAAUGCUGGCAACUAGUGGCGAGGGUUGCGCUCGUUGCGGGACUUAACCCAACACCUCACGGCACGAGCUGACGACAGCCGUGCACCACCUCGCACCCUGCCCCGAAGGGAGACCGGCUUUCACCGGCUGUCAGGGCACGUUCAAGCCCAGGUAAGGUUCUUCGCGUCGCAUCGAAUUAAACCACACGCUCCGCUGCUUGUGCGGGCCCCCGUCAAUUCCUUUGAGUUUUAGCCUUGCGGCCGUACUCCCCAGGCGGGACACUUAUCGCGUUGGCUGCGGCACGGACAGAUUCGACUCCGCCCACACCUAGUGUCCAUCGUUUACGGCGUGGACUAC
Molecule: unclassified non-coding RNA, 376 nt
Filed under: uncultured bacterium
Lineage: Bacteria
Description: contains 16S-23S intergenic spacer region
Source: RNAcentral